RNAcentral lists this ribosomal RNA (406 nucleotides) under uncultured bacterium. RNAcentral's name for it is "partial 16S ribosomal RNA". It matches the Rfam family "Bacterial small subunit ribosomal RNA", at positions 29 to 526 of the family's 1533-position model. The record is from RNAcentral.
AUUGAACGCUGGCGGCAGGCCUAACACAUGCAAGUCGAACGAGUGGCGGACGGGUGAGUAAUGUCUGGGAAACUGCCCGAUGGAGGGGGAUAACUACUGGAAACGGUAGCUAAUACCGCAUACCAUCGGAUGUGCCCAGAUGGGAUGAGCUAGUAGGUGGGGUAACGGCUCACCUAGGCGACGAUCCCUAGCUGGUCUGAGAGGAUGACCAGCCACACUGGGACUGAGACACGGCCAAGACUCCGACGGGAGGCAGCAGUGGGUAAUAUUGCACAAUGGGCGAAAGCCUGAUGCAGCCAUGCCGCGUGAAGGAAGAAGGCGUUCGGAUUGUAAAGGACUUUCAGUGGGGAGGCGUUACCCACAGAGAAAGCACCGGCUAACUCCGUGCCAGCAGCCGCGGUAAUAC